AGCCCCGUACACAAAAAUGCACAUACUGUGAGCUCGAUGAGUAGGGCGGGACACGUGGUAUCCUGUCUGAAUAUGGGGGGACCAUCCUCCAAGGCUAAAUACUCCUGACUGACCGAUAGUGAACCAGUACCGUGAGGGAAAGGCGAAAAGAACCCCGGCGAGGGGAGUGAAAAAGAACCUGAAACCGUGUACGUACAAGCAGUGGGAGCACGCUUCGGCGUGUGACUGCGUACCUUUUGUAUAAUGGGUCAGCGACUUAUAUUCUGUAGCAAGGUUAACCGAAUAGGGGAGCCGAAGGGAAACCGAGUCUUAACUGGGCGUUAAGUUGCAGGGUAUAGACCCGAAACCCGGUGAUCUAGCCAUGGGCAGGUUGAAGGUUGGGUAACACUAACUGGAGGACCGAACCGACUAAUGUUGAAAAAUUAGCGGAUGACUUGUGGCUGGGGGUGAAAGGCCAAUCAAACCGGGAGAUAGCUGGUUCUCCCCGAAAGCUAUUUAGGUAGCGCCUCGUGAAUUCAUCUCCGGGGGUAGAGCACUGUUUCGGCAAGGGGGUCAUCCCGACUUACCAACCCGAUGCAAACUGCGAAUACCGGAGAAUGUUAUCACGGGAGACACACGGCGGGUGCUAACGUCCGUCGUGAAGAGGGAAACAACCCAGACCGCCAGCUAAGGUCCCAAAGUCAUGGUUAAGUGGGAAACGAUGUGGGAAGGCCCAGACAGCCAGGAUGUUGGCUUAGAAGCAGCCAUCAUUUAAAGAAAGCGUAAUAGCUCACUGGUCGAGUCGGCCUGCGCGGAAGAUGUAACGGGGCUAAACCAUGCACCGAAGCUGCGGCAGCGACACUAUGUGUUGUUGGGUAGGGGAGCG
RNAcentral lists this ribosomal RNA (865 nucleotides) under Escherichia coli. Its description in RNAcentral is "partial 23S ribosomal RNA". It matches the Rfam family "Bacterial large subunit ribosomal RNA", at positions 369 to 1238 of the family's 2925-position model. The record is from RNAcentral. Lineage: Bacteria; Pseudomonadati; Pseudomonadota; Gammaproteobacteria; Enterobacterales; Enterobacteriaceae.